RNAcentral lists this ribosomal RNA (252 nucleotides) under uncultured bacterium. RNAcentral's name for it is "partial 16S ribosomal RNA". It matches the Rfam family "Bacterial small subunit ribosomal RNA", at positions 524 to 776 of the family's 1533-position model. The record is from RNAcentral.
UACGUAGGUGGCGAGCGUUGUCCGGAAUUAUUGGGCGUAAAGCGCGCGUAGGUGGGAUAUUAAGUCUAUUCUAAAAGUGCGGGGCUCAACCCCGUAAAGGGAUGGAAACUAAUAUUCUUGAGUACCGGAGAGGAAAGCGGAAUUCCCAGUGUAGCGGUGAAAUGCGUAGAUAUUGGGAGGAACACCAGUGGCGAAGGCGGCUUUCUGGACGGUGUCUGACACUGAGGCGCGAAAGCUAGGGGAGCAAACAGG